Molecule: ribosomal RNA, 447 nt
Filed under: uncultured bacterium
Lineage: Bacteria
Description: bacterial SSU rRNA
Rfam family: Bacterial small subunit ribosomal RNA
Source: RNAcentral
UCGGGAAUUUUGGGCAAUGGGCGAAAGCCUGACCCAGCAACGCCGCGUGAAGGAUGAAGUAUUUCGGUAUGUAAACUUCGUAAGAAUAGGAAGAAUAAAUGACGGUACUAUUUGUAAGGUCCGGCUAACUACGUGCCAGCAGCCGCGGUAAUACGUAGGGACCAAGCGUUGUUCGGAUUUACUGGGCGUAAAGGGCGCGUAGGCGGUGUGUCAAGUCAGUUGUGAAAUCUCCGAGCUUAACUCGGAACGGUCAACUGAUACUGUCACACUAGAGUACAGAAGGGGCAAUCGGAAUUCUUGGUGUAGCGGUGAAAUGCGUAGAUAUCAAGAGGAACACCUGAGGCGAAGACGGGUUGCUGGGCUGACACUGACGCUGAGGCGCGAAAGCCAGGGGAGCAAACGGGAUUAGAUACCCAGGUAGUCCCUGAGCGGGCUGGCAAGGCGCAU